GAUGAACGCUGGCGGCGUGCCUAAUACAUGCAAGUCGAACGGACAGACGCUGAGCUUGUUCCUUUGACGUUAGCGGAAGGCGUGUGAGUAACGCGUGUAUAACCUACUUGUCUUUCGGGUAUAAUUACGGAAAACCGGAUAUAAUACCAGAGAAUAUAUUGAACCGCGUUGUGCAAUGGAAAGAGACGGCUGUGCGGUCUCGAAUAGCUGCUUACGGGCCGUAUGAGCUGGUUGUUAAGGUAACGGCUUACCAAGGCUACGAGGCGUAGCCGAGGUGAGAGGGGGAUCGGCCACACGGGAAGUGAGACACGGUCCAGACGACUACGGGAGGCAGCAGUAGGGAAUGGGCGGCAAUGGGCGGAAGCCUGACGGAGCAAGGCCGCGUGGGUGAUGAAGGCCCUCGGAUCGUAAAGACGUGUUAUUGGGGAAGAACAAAUGUGGAAGUAAACAUGGACGUCUUGACGGUAACUAAUCAGAAAGCACCGGCUAACUACGUG
RNAcentral lists this ribosomal RNA (497 nucleotides) under uncultured bacterium. RNAcentral's name for it is "partial 16S ribosomal RNA". It matches the Rfam family "Bacterial small subunit ribosomal RNA", at positions 28 to 507 of the family's 1533-position model. The record is from RNAcentral.